UACGUAGGCAGCGAGCGUUGUUCGGAAUUACUGGGCGUAAAGGGUGCGUAGGCGGUGCCUCAAGUUUGGUGUGAAAUCUCCCGGCUCAACCGGGAGGGUGCGCCGAAAACUGAGGUGCUCGAGUGUGGGAGAGGUAAGCGGAAUUCCUGGUGUAGCGGUGAAAUGCGUAGAUAUCAGGAGGAACACCGGCGGUGUAGACGGCUUACUGGACCAUAACUGACGCUGAGGCACGAAAGUGUGGGGAGCAAACAGGAUUAGAUACCCUGGUAGUCCACACCCUAAACGAUGCAUACUUGGUGUGAGCCAUUCAUUUGGUUCGUGCCGGAGCUAACGCGUUAAGUAUGCCGCCUGGGGAGUACGGUCGCAAGGCUGAA
Molecule: ribosomal RNA, 374 nt
Filed under: uncultured bacterium
Lineage: Bacteria
Description: bacterial SSU rRNA
Rfam family: Bacterial small subunit ribosomal RNA
Source: RNAcentral